AUGGGUACAGCUCAGUGGUAUAGUGCAUGCUUAGCACGCACGAGGUCUUGGGUUCAAUUCCCAGUACCUCUA
This 72-nucleotide transfer RNA is filed under the name Camelus bactrianus (Bactrian camel). It matches the Rfam family "tRNA". Rfam says of the family: Transfer RNA (tRNA) molecules are approximately 80 nucleotides in length. Their secondary structure includes four short double-helical elements and three loops (D, anti-codon, and T loops). RNAcentral also lists the same sequence under 2 other names. The record is from Rfam by way of RNAcentral. Lineage: Eukaryota; Metazoa; Chordata; Mammalia; Artiodactyla; Camelidae.